AUUGAACGCUGGCGGCAGGCCUAACACAUGCAAGUCGAGCGGAUGAAGGGAGCUUGCUCCUGGAUUCAGCUGCGGACGGGUGAGUAAUGCCUAGGAAUCUGCCUGGUAGUGGGGGAUAACGUCCGGAAACGGGCGCUAAUACCGCAUACGUCCUGAGUGAGAAAGUGGGGGAUCUUCGGACCUCACGCUAUCAGAUGAGCCUAGGUCGGAUUAGCUAGUUGGUGUGGUAAAGGCCUACCAAGGCGACGAUCCGUAACUGGUCUGAGAGGAUGAUCAGUCACACUGGAACUGAGACACGGUCCAGACUCCUACGGGAGGCAGCAGUGGGGAAUAUUGGACAAUGGGCGAAAGCCUGAUCCAGCCAUGCCGCGUGUGUGAAGAAGGUCUUCGGAUUGUAAAGCACUUUAAGUUGGGAGGAAGGGCAGUAAGUUAAUACCUUGCUGUUUUGACGUUACCAACAGAAUAAGCACCGGCUAACUUCGUG
This 484-nucleotide ribosomal RNA is filed under the name uncultured bacterium. RNAcentral describes it as "partial 16S ribosomal RNA". It matches the Rfam family "Bacterial small subunit ribosomal RNA", at positions 30 to 507 of the family's 1533-position model. The record is from RNAcentral.